CAAGCCUUCAAGCGUUCUGUUCAUCAAAUUUCAAAAGCGUUUAAGAAACAGGUAAAAAGCGUUUAAGCAGAUAUAAAGCGUUUAAGAAACAUAUAAAGAAGGUGUUUAAGAAACAUAUCUGUUUCUUAAACAUAUCUUUUGUUUUCUUUUAUCUGUCCCGAGGAAGGUUUUUACCGAUUUACUCCUG
This 187-nucleotide unclassified non-coding RNA is filed under the name Bartonella chomelii. RNAcentral's name for it is "partial 16S-23S ribosomal RNA intergenic spacer". Lineage: Bacteria; Pseudomonadati; Pseudomonadota; Alphaproteobacteria; Hyphomicrobiales; Bartonellaceae. The record is from RNAcentral.